GAUGAACGCUGGCGGCGUGCCUAAUACAUGCAAGUCGAGCGAGCGGACGAGAAGCUUGCUUCUCUGAUGUUAGCGGCGGACGGGUGAGUAACACGUGGAUAACCUACCUAUAAGACUGGGAUAACUUCGGGAAACCGGAGCUAAUACCGGAUAAUAUUUUGAACCGCAUGGUUCAAAAGUGAAAGACGGUCUUGCUGUCACUUAUAGAUGGAGCCGCGCUGCAUUAGCUAGUUGGUAAGGUAACGGCUUACCAAGGCAACGAUGCAUAGCCGACCUGAGAGGGUGAUCGGCCACACUGGAACUGAGACACGGUCCAGACUCCUACGGGAGGCAGCAGUAGGGAAUCUUCCGCAAUGGGCGAAAGCCUGACGGCGCACCGCCGCGUGAGUGAUGAAGGUCUUCGGAUCGUAAAACUCUGUUAUUAGGGAAGAACAUAUGUGUAAGUAACUGUGCACAUCUUGACGGUACCUAAUCAGAAAGCCCCGGCUAACUACGUG
This 497-nucleotide ribosomal RNA is filed under the name uncultured bacterium. RNAcentral describes it as "partial 16S ribosomal RNA". It matches the Rfam family "Bacterial small subunit ribosomal RNA", at positions 28 to 507 of the family's 1533-position model. The record is from RNAcentral.